Molecule: ribosomal RNA, 207 nt
Filed under: uncultured bacterium
Lineage: Bacteria
Description: partial 16S ribosomal RNA
Rfam family: Bacterial small subunit ribosomal RNA
Source: RNAcentral
CUCGUAGGCGGUUCGUCGCGUCCGGUGUGAAAGUCCAUCGCUUAACGGUGGAUCCGCGCCGGGUACGGGCGGGCUUGAGUGCGGUAGGGGAGACUGGAAUUCCCGGUGUAACGGUGGAAUGUGUAGAUAUCGGGAAGAACACCAAUGGCGAAGGCAGGUCUCUGGGCCGUUACCGACGCUGAGGAGCGAAAGCGUGGGGAGCGAACA